AACGAACGCUGGCGGCAGGCCUAACACAUGCAAGUCGAACGGUUGUAGCAAUACAGCCGUGGCGCACGGGUGAGUAACGCGUGGGAAUCUGCCCAGUAGUACGGAAUAACAGUUGGAAACGACUGACAAUACCGUAUACGCCCUUCGGGGGAGAGUUUUUCGCUAUUGGAUGAGCCCGCGUCAGAUUAGCUAGUGGGUGGGGUAAUGGCCUACCAAGGCGACGAUCUGUAGCUGUUCUGAGAGGAAGACCAGCCACACUGGAACUGAGACACGGUCCAGACUCCUACGGAAGGCAGCAGUGGGGAAUAUUGGACAAUGCGCGAAAGCCUGCUCCAGCCAUGCCGCGUGGGUGAUGAAGGCCUUAGGGUUGUAAAGCUCUUUUGGCGGGGAAGUUAAUGACGGUACCCGCAGAAUAAGUUCCGGCUAACUUCGUGCCAGCCGCCGCCGUAA
Molecule: ribosomal RNA, 450 nt
Filed under: uncultured bacterium
Lineage: Bacteria
Description: partial 16S ribosomal RNA
Rfam family: Bacterial small subunit ribosomal RNA
Source: RNAcentral